Molecule: ribosomal RNA, 253 nt
Filed under: uncultured bacterium
Lineage: Bacteria
Description: partial 16S ribosomal RNA
Rfam family: Bacterial small subunit ribosomal RNA
Source: RNAcentral
UACGUAGGGGGCAAGCGUUGUCCGGAUUUAUUGGGCGUAAAGAGCGUGUAGGCGGCCUGGAAGGUCAGCUGUGAAAACUCGAGGCUCAACCUCGAGACGUCGGUUGAAACCACCUGGCUAGAGUCCGGAAGAGGAGAGUGGAAUUCCCGGUGUAGCGGUGAAAUGCGCAGAUAUCAGGAGGAACACCGGUGGCGAAGGCGGGUCUCUGGGCAGUAACUGACGCUGAGGAGCGAAAGCGUGGGGAGCGAACAGG